UACGUAGGGGGCAAGCGUUGUCCGGAAUCAUUGGGCGUAAAGAGCGUGUAGGCGGCCCGAUAAGUCCGCUGUGAAAGUCCAGGGCUCAACCCUGGAAUGCCAGUGGAAACUGUCGGGCUGGAGUCCGGAAGAGGCGAGUGGAAUUCCUGGUGUAGCGGUGAAAUGCGCAGAUAUCAGGAGGAACACCAAUGGCGAAGGCAGCUCGCUGGGACGGUACUGACGCUGAGGCGCGAAAGCGUGGGGAGCAAACAGG
This 253-nucleotide ribosomal RNA is filed under the name uncultured bacterium. RNAcentral's name for it is "partial 16S ribosomal RNA". It matches the Rfam family "Bacterial small subunit ribosomal RNA", at positions 524 to 776 of the family's 1533-position model. The record is from RNAcentral.